GUAGGCAGCAAACAAGGAAGAGUUUGCAAACUACAUCUCGAAGGACGUUUUGUUUGUGUGUUGUCGUUUCUUGCGUUCCAUCUGGGAGGCUCUGUUGAUGUGUAUGGCUACCUGUAAGAGAGCACUGAUGAAGAAUGGAGAAGAUGUAAAAUAGAGCUCGCCAAAGGUUUUAAAAAUAAAUCAAGAGCUUCCGGUGUUAAUGUAGAACAACACUUCCCUUCUGAAAGUCCAGAGCCAGAGCCCCUAAAAAGAACACUGCCCAGGACUGUAAAGGAUAUGAAAAAGGAACCACAUCACCAUGAGAGUGUGGAGGGGGAACACUUACUCCCUGCAAAGCUGUUUUCAAGACAGGCUACUUGUGUCAUGUAGGGUGGAAAGAAAUGAGUGAAUGAAGGCAGAAGCGCCCAGAAAGAAGGUCAGGUAUGGUACACUAAAUCACUGUAUCCAAUAAUUAAGGAAUUUAAUGAUAAGAAUAUGGGAAGACGGUGGACCAGGAAGUACCUGAAAUCUAUCUCCCCACCUAGAAAAUUACAUUGGCAAAAUUUCUCUCAUGCAACUUUUUUGGAUCUGUGGAGCUCAUUGAAGGCAUGUACCUAUUUAUUGCUUAGACAAACUACUAGACAACAAACUGAGAUAAACUUUAUUCAAUUUUACCUCUCAGCAUGGUAAAAGCUAAGCAUAACCACCCCAGUACCUUGCAUACAGCUUGCUGGAGCCAGGGUGAACAACAGGGAGCCGCUCUUCUACAGACCUGAGA
RNAcentral lists this long non-coding RNA (757 nucleotides) under Heterocephalus glaber (naked mole-rat). Its description in RNAcentral is "lncRNA (ENSHGLG00000033469.1)". Lineage: Eukaryota; Metazoa; Chordata; Mammalia; Rodentia; Bathyergidae. The record is from RNAcentral.